ACUCCUACGGGAGGCAGCAGUAGGGAAUCUUCCACAAUGGGCGCAAGCCUGAUGGAGCAACACCGCGUGAGUGAAGAAGGGUUUCGGCUCGUAAAGCUCUGUUGUUAAAGAAGAACACGUAUGAGAGUAACUGUUCAUACGUUGACGGUAUUUAACCAGAAAGUCACGGCUAACUACGUGCCAGCAGCCGCGGGUAAUACGUAGGUGGCAAGCGUUAUCCGGAUUUAUUGGGCGUAAAGAGAGUGCAGGCGGUUUUCUAAGUCUGAUGUGAAAGCCUUCGGCUUAACCGGAGAAGUGCAUCGGAAACUGGAUAACUUGAGUGCAGAAGAGGGUAGUGGAACUCCAUGUGUAGCGGUGGAAUGCGUAGAUAUAUGGAAGAACACCAGUGGCGAAGGCGGCUACCUGGUCUGCAACUGACGCUGAGACUCGAAAGCAUGGGUAGCGAACAGGAUUAGAUACCCUGGUAGGAUAGCG
RNAcentral lists this ribosomal RNA (474 nucleotides) under uncultured bacterium. RNAcentral's name for it is "bacterial SSU rRNA". It matches the Rfam family "Bacterial small subunit ribosomal RNA", at positions 335 to 801 of the family's 1533-position model. The record is from RNAcentral.